GUAGGUGGCAAGCGUUGUCCGGAAUUAUUGGGCGUAAAGCGCGCGCAGGCGGUUCUUUAAGUCUGAUGUGAAAGCCCACGGCUCAACCGUGGAGGGUCAUUGGAAACUGGAGAACUUGAGUACAGAAGAGGAAAGCGGAAUUCCACGUGUAGCGGUGAAAUGCGUAGAGAUGUGGAGGAACACCAGUGGCGAAGGCGGCUUUCUGGUCUGUAACUGACGCUGAGGCGCGAAAGCGUGGGGAGCAAACAGGGAUUAGAUACCCCGGUAGUCCACGCCGUAAACGAUGAGUGCUAAGUGUUAGGGGGGUUUCCCGCCCCCUUAGUGCUGCAGCUAACGCAUUAAGCACUCCGCCUGGGGAGUACGGCCCGCAAGGCUG
This 376-nucleotide ribosomal RNA is filed under the name uncultured organism. RNAcentral describes it as "partial 16S ribosomal RNA". It matches the Rfam family "Bacterial small subunit ribosomal RNA", at positions 527 to 896 of the family's 1533-position model. The record is from RNAcentral.